CUUCCUCAGCCCAAUAACCGGUCCCCUCUCCCUCAGGCCUCAGGUCCCGGUCUGGCCAUCUCCCACUCGUCCCGUUCGGCAGCUCCCGACCCCGAGCCCUCCCGAGGGCACCGCUGGCCGCCGCCAGCCCACCACCCGCGCCUCCCGCCGCAGGCUGCCUGCCGCACUGCGCGUCUCUGCCCGUGGGUCGUGGCCCCUGCGCCUCCCCGCCGGCGCCGGGCGCUGCAGCAAGGGCACGCGGCCGCCGCAAACCUGGCGUGCCGGCUGCUCCCGCCGUCACGCGCGGCCGCACGCCAGCUGGCGUCCCGACCCUUCCAAUUGCAAUCCCCUCACCGAGUCACUGUGGUUUAGAUUCAGUUCCAGUUGUGGAUGAUAGUUCAACUGAAAAUGACGAGUCAAUUGAAGUUGAAGAAGAACCAGAAUCAGUGGAUGAAGGGCUGCCUGAAGAAGGAGAAUCACCAGUUCAUGGUGCCGGUUCUCUUCCCCUUGAACAUGAUCCAGGCUUAAGGCUGCCCAUUUCAAGUUUUGAUGUCAAUGAACAAGAUGCAGCUAGAAGAGGGUACAUUCCGAAAGGUACAUUCCAACCACAUGCCCAUGAGUAUCCAAUCACCACAAUUUACAGUAAAGAUCGUUGUUUUAGUCUUCUUUGAUUCUAUAACUAAACUAACCUUGGAUUGAAUAUAGUGUUGAGAAGGAUGCAACAUUUUGUUUUACAUAUGUUAUUUGUUUAGCAAAGAAAUUGGAAAUUUUGUUACUGGUGGUUGGAACAAUUGGAAUGUGGGAUCUUUUUAUUUAUGUUAUUUUAAAUUUGAUCAUAUUGUUGCCAAAGUGCUAUUAGAGUAUACCGGAUUACGCUUUGAAAUUUUGUGCCAGGACUACCCUAGUUUUAAUUCCUGCUAUUAGAAUAUACCAUAUUGUCCACCACUGGCUGCAGCGCCCAAAUGCUAGUGUCCUGUCUCAUCGGCGGCAUCGUGCUGAUUCGCCAUGGUGCUCGCGCUCCACCUCGCGGGCCCCAGUGAGCAUCUACAUGGACGGAUGCUUCGACAUGAAGCACUACGGCCACUGCAGGGACGAGCUCAUCGUCGGCUUCAUCAGCGACGACGAGAUCAAGGCCAACAAGAAGCAGAACGAGAAGGAAGCCAGUGAGAAGAAGUACUACGACAGUAAAAGCUUUGUCAAUGGGGAGUAAGUUACGGUGAAGAUGUUGCCUAGAUCAUUUGAGAUUCCAAGCUUUCUUCAUAAACGCAGCAGGUCUAGAGCUUUACCAUCUUUUCAACAUGUUUGAUGCUUUGCUAAUAUAACUUAGGGAGCAUCAGGUGCAUCAUGGAUGAGUGAUUCGCAGAGGCAAUUAAUUGGGCUAAGGCUAGAAGCAUUUCCAUCAUUUCUCCAUUGUCUCCAGCCUAUUUUUCCCCUGUAUAUGCGCCGCCUUUGAGUUGUCUGUUGUUUCCGGCUGAGUUCCAUUUGAGAUAUGCAGGUUU
This is an RNA transcript of Panicum virgatum (switchgrass), 1478 nucleotides long. It is a transcript of the gene named ethanolamine-phosphate cytidylyltransferase-like, with no coding region annotated. The transcript has 3 exons. Lineage: Eukaryota; Viridiplantae; Streptophyta; Magnoliopsida; Poales; Poaceae. The record is from RefSeq and is a predicted model, not a curated record.